UUCUUAAAGAUUUUCUGAAAUCAGUAUCUGAUGUAUGGUUUUCCUCACUCACUCAUCUGCUGCCAUAUAGGUAUGGUAGAUCACCACAGUCAGGUCAGGUCAGCAUUUUCAGUUCAUUUCCUACUCAAUUCAUACUUGAUUUCUCUGUGAUGUUGUUGAUGCGGUGAGGGUGGAGGGGAAAAUAUAUUUGGAAAUAUGUCUGCUGCACCAAUACACAGGUCCACUGUCACGUGUGCAUUGCAGUUUGCAGUCCCUUUUUUAGACUCUGGGCUCGAAGUGCAAGCACCCCUAGUCGACAUGGCAACAAAAUCCGUACUUGCAACUGGCCCAGCAGUAAGGCGGCAUGAGGGCUGGCUCUUUUGCAUGAGACAAGGUCGUCCUUUCAAACGGACACCAAAAUAAAAAACAUGGGGUUGCCACAGCGUGUCAUCCUUUUCCAUCUGUCUUGCCUGGCAGCUCCAUCCUCAUCAUCCUUCUACCAAGAUACUCACUAUUUCUCCUCUGGACGUGUCCAAACCAUCGAAGUCUGCUCUCUCUAACUUUGUCUCCAAAACAUCGAACCGUGGGUGUCCCUCUGAUGAGCUCAUUUAAAAUUUUAUCCAACCUGGUCUCUCCGAGAGCGAACCUCAACAUCUUCAUUCCCGCCACCUCCGCUCUGCUUCCUGUUGUCUCUUCAGUCCCACUGUCUCUAAUCCGUACAUCAAGGGUGGCCUCACCACUGUUUUAUAAACUUUGCCCUUCAUCCUAGCCGAGACUCUUCUGUCACAUAACACACCUGACACCUUCCUCCACCCGUUCCAACCUGCUUGGACCCGUUUCUUCACUUCCUGACCACACUCACCAUUGUUCUGGACGGUUGACCCCAAGUAUUUAAAGUCAUCCACCCUUGCUAUCUCUUCUCCCUGUAGCCUCACUCCUCCCCUACCACCCUUCUCAUUCAUGCACAUAUAUUCUAUUUUACUUCAGCUAAUCUUCAUUUAUCUUCUUUCCAGUGCAUGCCUCCAUCUUUCUAACUGUUCCUCCACCUGCUCCCUGCUUUCACUGCAGAUCACAAUGUCAUCUGCAAACAUCAUGGUCCACAGGGAUUCGGGUCUAAGCUCAUCUGUCACCCUAUCCAUCAGCACUGCAAACAGGAAGGGGCUCAGGGCUGAACCCUGAUGCAGUCCCACCUCCACCUUAAAUUCGUCUGUCACACCUACAGCACACCUCACCACUGUUCUGCUGCUACUGGAUUUGGAGCUGGUGAAUUAUUGCUUCAUGAAUGAAGUUGUCAUCAUCACCGGACUCUAUAAGGGCAGUAAUGGAGGUGUUCUGAGCAGAAACUAUAAUGCAAGCAUGAACGCUCUUGGGAGAGCUUGAGGGAAUGGAGGUUUGGGUCACCACGACGCUCACGGGUCGCGGUGAGCCUGGUCUUUUGAUCAGAGGGGGGAUGAGGAAAUAAAGUGACCGGAUUGACCGCAGUAGAUACACUGGAUGACUUGACGCUGACGCUCAUGUGGGUCUAGACGUGUUUUACCAAUUUGCAUGGGGUCUGUGGUAGCUACAGGGAGUGACGGAAGUGCGGGAGACGGUGCGGGAGGCGGGUGAGAAGCUGACAGCGUGGUGCUCUGAGAGGGAGGAUUCUUACAUAUGCGGACCCUCCUCUCUUGUGCUCUCUCUCACAGUCGGUAAUCAAGCCGAAUGGAAAGGGCAACGAGAUCCUUGAGAGAGGAGCGCUCGUCCCUGACCGCUAGAUCAUCGUUGAGUUGGUCAGAGAGGCCAUUUGAAAAAAUCCCCCCAAGCGCCGCGUCCUCCAACCCGCAUUCACCUGCCAAUAUCCGGAACUCAAUGGAAUAUUCCGCUGCUGAUUUAGCGCCCUGUGUGAGCAUGCGCAGGCGAGAGGGGGCUUAUUUGCCCUGAACUGGGUGAUCAAAUACUUUGCGGAGUUCGGCGGAAAAAGAAUCGAAUGAAGUACCGGAGAGGAGUUUCACCAUCAUGAAGUGGACCAUUUUGCUGCUUUGCCGUGGAGGAGCAAUCAUCACCUCCUCAACCGCGCACUUGUUCCCAAUCAGCACUCAUCACUGCCUGCAUAUAAGCCUGUCAGAUCCAGGAAUCCAGCGCCAGAGUAUUUACGCUCGUUCGUGUGCUCCUUCCGUGUCUCCCGCUUCACUGCCCGCGCCAGCCACACCGUCAAGCUCUUUCACCUGCCCACGCUCCCGCUUCCUGCACCUUUCCUGUUCCAACGGACCAUUAUCAUUCCUCGGAUAUCCUACUCCCUGAGCUACGACCUAAUAAACCAUUCUUAUCUACUUCCUCCGCCGCCGCCUGCUUUUGGGUCCAGUCCCAUAUCAUACGAUUAUCAAUCGUGACAGUUUGAAGGGCACAAUUGCUAUGAAGUUAUGCAAGGCAUGAAUUUCAACAGGACACCACCAUUUUGUGUUGUAUUGAAUGAAAUUGUUCUUCAUAAAUAAGUUAUCAUCGUUUAGGAUUUUUCUCAUACAACUUGAAAAAAUAUUUGUUCUGAUUAAAUUUGCGUUGGACUGCCAUGAUAUUAGUGUAUUAUACUAAUACUAAUACUUUACUAGUAUGACUCAAUAAUGUUUUGAAAAUAGGACUUAAAGCAUGACUGUUUCAGCAUGGAAGACAUUUACCCAUAUAAAGCCAAGACGGCAUAAAAAAAUUGCUAAAUUUGAAAAGAAUUGUGUGCCUUUCCUGUAAAAAUCUAUUUACCAUUAAAUAUGGUAUCUGCUUUCGCUGGAGUUUAGAUUUAGUAGUUAGAUUAUUUGUGUUGCUUGGAAAGAAGCUGUUGUGUAUAUUUCAGAGAUGUCAAGUUCGCUUUGACAGGAUCGCACCGGCAGAUAUCCGAUGCCAACAUGUGAAAGCGCUCUGAUUCCGAUCUGAGAACAUCCGAUUACACUGAUUUUCUCUUUAUGCUGCUAAGAUGCCUAUCUGAAUUGUGCCACUCGAGAGCAAACAUAAGUGUUUUUGAGAAAUAUUAUUGAAACUAUAUUUAACAAGAUAAAGGUUUGUUGGAAUCAAGCUUAAGUGGUACUUCUAUGACACAAAUCAAUAGUUCUGAAUCAAGAUUUUAACUGUUGUUUUACCAUAUAUAGUUAUUUCCUAAAUUCUAAAAUAUAUUUUAUUUAAAAUGCUGGUAGAGUUUAAUCCAUUACACGUUAGUAUUAGCAUGUAUGCUUCAACUGUCACACUAGUUUUUCAGGGUCCGUAGUUAGUAGAAAUAUAAAGCACUCUUUUCUAAAAUGCAA
Phyllopteryx taeniolatus (common seadragon) is the source of this 3245-nucleotide long non-coding RNA. RefSeq lists it as uncharacterized. Lineage: Eukaryota; Metazoa; Chordata; Actinopteri; Syngnathiformes; Syngnathidae. The transcript has 5 exons. The record is from RefSeq and is a predicted model, not a curated record.